GAUGAACGCUGACAGAAUGCUUAACACAUGCAAGUCAACUUGAAUUUGGGUUUUUAACUUAGGUUUGGGUGGCGGACGGGUGAGUAACGCGUAAAGAACUUGCCUCACAGCUAGGGACAACAUUUGGAAACGAAUGCUAAUACCUAAUAUUAUGAUAAUAGGGCAUCCUAUAAUUAUGAAAGCUAUAAGCGCUGUGAGAGAGCUUUGCGUCCCAUUAGCUAGUUGGAGAGGUAACGGCUCACCAAGGCGAUGAUGGGUAGCCGGCCUGAGAGGGUGAUCGGCCACAAGGGGACUGAGACACGGCCCUUACUCCUACGGGAGGCAGCAGUGGGGAAUAUUGGACAAUGGACCGAGAGUCUGAUCCAGCAAUUCUGUGUGCACGAUGAAGUUUUUCGGAAUGUAAAGUGCUCUCAGUUGGGAAGAAACAAAUGACGGUACCAACAGAAGAAGUGACGGCUAAAUACGUG
Molecule: ribosomal RNA, 467 nt
Filed under: uncultured bacterium
Lineage: Bacteria
Description: partial 16S ribosomal RNA
Rfam family: Bacterial small subunit ribosomal RNA
Source: RNAcentral